AAAAGAACCCCGGGAGGGGAGUGAAAUAGAUCCUGAAACCGCAUACAUACAAACAGUAGGAGCCUCGUUAAGGGGUGACUGCGUACCUUUUGCAUAAUGGGUCAGCGACUUACGUUUAAUGGCGAGCUUAACCGUAUAGGGGAGGCGCAGCGAAAGCGAGUUCGAACAGAGCGUUCAGUCGUUAGGCGUAGACCCGAAACCAGAUGAUCUAUCCAUGGCCAGGUUGAAGGUGUGGUAACACACACUGGAGGACCGAACCGACUAGUGUUGCAAAAUUAGCGGAUGAGCUGUGGAUAGGGGUGAAAGGCUAAACAAAUCUGGAGAUAGCUGGUUCUCCCCGAAAACUAUUGAGGUAGUGCCUCGUGUAUGACUCCAGGGGGUAGAGCACUGUUAUGGCUAGGGGGACAUGGCGUCUUACCAAACCAUGGCAAACUCCGAAUACUUGGAAGUUUGAGCACGGGAGACAGAGCACCGGGUGCUAACGUCCGGACUCAAGAGGGAAACAACCCAGACCGCCGGCUAAGGUCCCUAAUAUUGACUAAGUGGAAAACGAAGUGGAAAGGCUAAGACAGUCAGGAAGUUGGCUUAGAAGCAGCCAUCCUUCAAAGAAAGCGUAAUAGCUCACUGAUCGAGUCUUUCUGCGCGGAAGAUGUAACGGGGCUAAGUCAAUAACCGAAGCCGCGGAUUCACACUUAUGUGUGAGUGGUAGGGGAGCGUUCUGUAAGCCUGCGAAGGUGACUCGUAAGGGUUGCUGGAGGUAUCAGAAGUGCGAAUGCUGACAUGAGUAACGUUAAAGCGGGUGAAAAGCCCGCUCGCCGUAAGCCCAAGGUUUCCUGCUCUACGUUCAUCGGAGCAGGGUGAGUCGGCCCCUAAGGUGAGGCUGAGAAGCGUAACUGAUGGGAACAAGGUUAAUAUUCCUUGACCACCGCUGAAUGCGAAGGGGGGACGGAGUAUUGAAGAUCAUCCGGGUGUUGGAUAUCCCGGUUUGCGAGCGUAGGAGGCUGACAGGCAAAUCCGUCAGCGAAUCUCCGAGGCAAAGCAUCGAGCUCUCUUUUGAGCGAAGUGAUUGGAUGUGCUUCCAGGAAAAGCCUCUAAGCUCCAGUUCAGCGGGACCGUACCGCAAACCGACACUGGUGGGCGAGCUGAAUAUGCUCAGGCGCUUGAGAGAACUCAGGAGAAGGAACUCGGCAAAUUGACACCGUAACUUCGGGAUAAGGUGUGCCUUUGUAGCGUGGAGGGAGAAACACCCCGAGCGCGAAGAGGUCUCAGAUAAUCGGUGGCUGCGACUGUUUAUUAAAAACACAGCACUCUGCAAAGACGAAAGUCGACGUAUAGGGUGUGAUGCCUGCCCGGUGCUGGAAGAUUAAUUGAUGGGGUGCAAGCUCCUGAUCGAAGUCCCAGUAAACGGCGGCCGUAACUAUAACGGUCCUAAGGUAGCGAAAUUCCUUGUCGGGUAAGUUCCGACCUGCACGAAUGGCAUAACGAUGGCCACACUGUCUCCUCCUGAGACUCAGUGAAGUUGAAGUGUUUGUGAUGAUGCAAUCUCCCCGCGGCUAGACGGAAAGACCCCAUGAACCUUUACUGUAGCUUUGCAUUGGACUUUGAACCGAUCUGUGUAGGAUAGGCGGGAGCCUGUGAAACCACAACGCCAGUUGUGGCGGAGGCGUCCUUGAAAUACCGCCCUGAUUUGUUUGAGGUUCUAACCUGGGACAGUCAUCCUGUCCGGGGACCGUGCAUGGUAGGCAGUUUGACUGGGGCGGUCUCCUCCUAAAGGGUAACGGAGGAGUGCGAAGGUACGCUAGGUACGGUCGGAAAUCGUGCUGAUAGUGCAAUGGCAAAAGCGUGCUUGACUGCGAGACCCACAAGUCGAGCAGAUACGAAAGUAGGUCAUAGUGAUCCGGUGGCUCUGUAUGGAAGGGCCAUCGCUCAACGGAUAAAAGGUACUCUGGGGAUAACAGGCUGAUACCGCCCAAGAGUUCAUAUCGACGGCGGUGUUUGGCAC
RNAcentral lists this ribosomal RNA (2002 nucleotides) under human gut metagenome. RNAcentral describes it as "bacterial LSU rRNA". It matches the Rfam family "Bacterial large subunit ribosomal RNA", at positions 517 to 2524 of the family's 2925-position model. The record is from RNAcentral.